This 1209-nucleotide ribosomal RNA is filed under the name Triticum aestivum (bread wheat). RNAcentral describes it as "partial small subunit ribosomal RNA". Lineage: Eukaryota; Viridiplantae; Streptophyta; Magnoliopsida; Poales; Poaceae. The record is from RNAcentral.
AUGGAGACAAGCAACAUCAUGAUGCUGCUAUAUCUUAGUGGUCUUUAUUUCACAAAUAGUGAUCUGCUUCUUAUCUGCUCUAGAAUCCCUAGGUCUGAAGUUAGUCCUGUCUUACAACUGAGCAAUAUGCAGAGCCUCUGGUACGCGCAGCCAUGCUCUAUCGCCGCCACCUGCUACUUCAAGUCCGUCAACGGCCUCGCCGGAAACUGGGGCUUAUCCAUAGUCCGACUCAAUCUCUGUGUCGCCCUCCUCGCCGCCCGCUGCCUUGCCGUGAAGCCCUCUGCUGCAGCCUCUUACUUCACUGUCGACGACACUAUGCUCCAACCCAUCUCUGUCCAGAUUACCUCCUACACCGCAAAUUCCACUGGCCAUGUGCUUGCUCUUUACAGGAACGAUCACUACGUAAGCGAGCUACCACUUGAUAUUGUUCAAAGAAUGAAAAUGUUUAGUCCAUCAAGUAGUAGUUUCAGUAGCUCAGGGAGCACCUCCUCGCUGCGAACCCCUUCAUCGUCAAGCUUGUCGUGGACUCUAAUGAUUUUGGAUUACUACUCUCAAGGGAUUUGGCCUACUUUAUGGUCAUUGAUUAACAAGGUUCUCAGUUGUACAUGCAUGUGUGGCAGCAUAAAAAGAAAGAAGCAGCCGAAGGGGCGCCUCCCACCUGACACCGCCCAGCUUCCUCCUAAGCGGCGCCACCAGGUGGCGCCCCAAUCACUAGUUUGCUUCAUGAGUGGCUGCCAAGUGGGCCUCAUUAGCCAUGGUCUAGUGAAUCAUUUGCUUUUUACCGUCACUGAGCGCAUCAAUUCGCGCCGCCGUCUGUCCAGUCUGCCGCUCUCUCAUUUUUUUCCUCUCUCAGAUCGAGGGUGGCCGGUGCAGCUUCAUCUUCUCGCCUUUAAUCCCCAUGCCUUUGUGCCUUCCAUCCAUGACUGCUUCCAUCUCCAUACGCCGCUGCCCUCCCCUUACCUCCUCCGCAAGAUUGACGAGGUGCAUGUUGACGAGGGCAGAGCAGAGUCGCCAGAUUCGUCACUGCCGCGGUUCUCAAGCUUGUCGCCGCUGUCGAGGUCCGGCAUGACCUGGCCUUUGGUGGAGGCUCCAUCCACUCAUCUCCUCCACCUUGCAACCUGUCACGUCCUAGGGGCGGCGAGGUUCGCCGGAGUUGUGAUCGGAGGUGGAGGAGAAGACCUAGAUCGGAAGAGCGAGGUAGGAAGGUAG